CCAGACUCCUACGGGAGGCAGCAGUGAGGAAUAUUGGUCAAUGGGCGAGAGCCUGAACCAGCCAAGUCGCGUGAAGGAUGACGGCCCUACGGGUUGUAAACUUCUUUUGUCAGGGAGCAAUUGAGUCCACGUGUGGGCUUAGCGAGAGUACCUGAAGAAAAAGCAUCGGCUAACUCCGUGUCAGCAGCCGCGGUAAUACGGAGGAUGCGAGCGUUAUCCGGAUUUAUUGGGUUUAAAGGGUGCGUAGGCGGAGUGUCAAGUCAGCGGUAAAAUUUCGGGGCUCAACCCCGUCGUGCCGUUGAAACUGACGCCCUUGAGUGAGUGAGAAGUAAGCGGAAUGCGUGGUGUAGCGGUGAAAUGCAUAGAUAUCACGCAGAACUCCGAUUGCGAAGGCAGCAUACCGGCGCGCAACUGACGCUCAUGCACGAAAGCGUGGGUAUCGAACAGGAUUAGAUACCCCCGUAAG
This 466-nucleotide ribosomal RNA is filed under the name uncultured bacterium. RNAcentral's name for it is "bacterial SSU rRNA". It matches the Rfam family "Bacterial small subunit ribosomal RNA", at positions 331 to 793 of the family's 1533-position model. The record is from RNAcentral.